RNAcentral lists this long non-coding RNA (1156 nucleotides) under Piliocolobus tephrosceles (Ugandan red Colobus). RNAcentral describes it as "lncRNA (ENSPTEG00000038308.1)". Lineage: Eukaryota; Metazoa; Chordata; Mammalia; Primates; Cercopithecidae. The record is from RNAcentral.
GAGUUGAGCAGGGGAGCUGUGGGACAAGUGUGAAAGCCAUUGCUAGUGAGAAAAAGCAAUAGUAGCAAUUAGAUAGUGAAACUGAACAGUGCCCUUUAAUAAAUAAUUCACCUCACUUCCCAAUCGUAUCUACACUGUGCCUCUCCUCCAAACCCACUUACAGACCCUCUUCUGCCCUUGGAGUCAUUAUUGCCCUCAAUUCAAGCGUCUGAAAGCAUGCCUGAUGAAACGCAAUGCUCCGUUCCUGGCUAGCUGCCACUGGCCACACCCUACAAAGAAUCCCAACAGCCCAGUUCAAAGACUUGUCAUUAGAGAUGCUGUUCUAUCCAGCCAGCCAACAAUUCUCAAGUGGAGUGGCUCUAGAAACUCAGCUCUUGAAAACAUCACGGAGCUUUAUCAGUGACAAGGCCAAGAGGUUGCAACUACUGUUAUCUUUGGACACACAGAAGAAUCACCUGGUCCAGACUCUGUCUCACCACUGGGCUCUUUCAACAGAUCCCAUUUGAAAGCCUUCAACUCGAUCAGGCUUUGAGAAGCAAAGCACAGCCUGUCAUGGUGGCUCACGUCUGUAAUCCCAGCACUUUUGGAGACUGAGGCAUGUGGAUUGCCUGAGGUCAGGAGUUCGAGACCACUCUGGCCAACAUGGCGAAACGCCAUCUCUACCAAAAAUACAAAAAUGAGCUGGACACUGUGGCGUGCACCUGUAAUCCCUGCUACUUGGGAGGCUGAGGCAGGAGAAUCGCUUGAACUUGGGAGCAAAGGUUGCAGUUAGCUGAGAUUGCACCACUGCACUCCAGCCUGGGCAACAGAGUGAGACUCCAUCCCCUCAAAAAAAAAAAAAAAAGCAAAGGAAGAGAAACCUCAGGCCAUUAUCUCAGCUAUUCAGAAUCAUACCUGGCCUCAAUAAUUGUACAUAUCUUUCCAGUGGCCAAACUUCCACCUCACAUGCUGGUUUUAUGCCCUGUUCUGAUUCAUACGAAACUCUCACACCCCAUCUGAGUCUAUACCUUAGUGGAGAUACUUUUGGUAUAGUCCAUACUUAAGUUUAGUACCCUAGAAAAAGAUUUUAAUGAUAGAAAGAAAUCCAGUUGCUUAACACUCUAUUCUUUGCCUUGUGUGCAUUUUCCUUUUGUUUUUAUUCAAUAUUCAGCAAGCA